GAGCACAGUGGUAGAACAUAUGUUUUGCAUGCAAAAGGUCCUAGGUUCAAUCCCUGGCAUCUUCA
Non-coding RNA from Podarcis lilfordi (Lilford's wall lizard), 65 nucleotides. NCBI's taxonomy places the organism in Eukaryota, Metazoa, Chordata, Lepidosauria, Squamata, Lacertidae. The record is from the annotation of a GenBank genome assembly.